This 505-nucleotide ribosomal RNA is filed under the name uncultured Lachnospiraceae bacterium. RNAcentral's name for it is "partial 16S ribosomal RNA". The record is from RNAcentral. Lineage: Bacteria; Bacillati; Bacillota; Clostridia; Lachnospirales; Lachnospiraceae.
GACGUAUUUAGCCGGAGCUUCUUAGUCAGGUACCGUCACUUUCUUCCCUGCUGAUAGGGCUUUACAUACCGAAAUACUUCUUCACCCACGCGGCGUUGCUGCAUCAGGGUUCCCCCCAUUGUGCAAUAUUCCCCACUGCUGCCUCCCGUAGGAGUCUGGGCCGUGUCUCAGUCCCAAUGUGGCCGUCCACUCUCUCAAGCCGGCUACUGAUCGCUGCCUUGGUGGGCCGUUACCCCGCCAACUAGCUAAUCAGACGCGGGCCCAUCCUGUACCACCGGAGUUUUCCCCGCAGCGCCAUGCGGCACCGCGGGCUUAUGCGGUAUUAGCAGCCGUUUCCAGCUGUUGUCCCCCUGUACAGGGCAGGUUACCCACGCGUUACUCACCCGUCCGCCACUAGGCUGUAUGCUGCUUCCGCCCGAAAGCUUCCGCUGCAUACGCCCCGUUCGACUUGCAUGUGUUAGGCACGCCGCCAGCGUUCAUCCUCGAGUCCACGGAUCAAACUCUC